RNAcentral lists this long non-coding RNA (5674 nucleotides) under Marmota monax (woodchuck). The record is from RNAcentral. Lineage: Eukaryota; Metazoa; Chordata; Mammalia; Rodentia; Sciuridae.
AUAGGCUAAGAAAUUAAUAUCUUGUAAAUUUGUAUUUCCUUUUUGUUAGUGGGGUUUUGGAGAUCAUUUUUAAUAAGAUAUUGUUGUAUAUUGAUAUCUAAUUUGCUUCUAAGUUGUUGCUGUUACUUCCAGUUAUUCUGUCCACUCAAAAUGCAGCUGGGUAUUGAACCUAGCACUUUGAACACAUUGACUGGGAGCUUUGACAAUGAGGUACAUUCCCAGAUCUGGGAACAUCACAAAGAGAAAGUAACUGACUAAAAAGACCCUCACAUAAUAAUAGAACAGAUACUUAACUCCAAAUUAUGCAUCUCAACAUAAAAGUACGAGAAAAAUGAAUUAAUAAGGGAGCAAGAUGUACCCUCAAAUUCAUAACUCCCCAAUGACUAAAUUUGCAGAUACCAAAGUGGAUGCCAAAGAUACCUAGAAAAUGAUUAAUAAAAUCAUCAAUAAAUUGAAAGAAGAUAAAAAGUCAGCAGAAAAAAAUUAUGAAAUACAAUGAGAGAUAAGAAAGAACAUUUUAAAAAGAGAUAGAGACUCUAAGAAAGAACCACUAGAAACUUUGGAAUUUGAAAGUUCAAUAUGUCAAAUAAUCACCUAGGUUAAAAUAUUACCAAAUGCAGUAGUUCAACUGAAAGAAAGGACAUCAGGUAAUGAAGGCAAGGUGAAUGAACUAGAAUAUUCUGAGAAUAAUAAAAAAGUAAGAAACUUUGUUCUCUAUAGAUCUUUGUAGUAGAAGUCUUGAAGUACCAAAUGUAGGACUCAAUUCUUGAUGAAGGAGUACAGAUAGAUGUUAAUAGUAUAGAAAAUCUAUUCAGUGACUAAUACCAGAAAAUGUCUCAAAUCUUUAUGUGUGUGUGUAUACAUAUAUUAUAUACAAUAUUAUUUGUUCUUUUUAGAUAUACAUGACAGUAGAAUGAAUUUUUACUUAUUAUACAUACAUAGAGUAUAAUUUAUUCUAACUAGGAUCUAAUUCUUGUGGUUGAAUAUGGUCUGGAGUUACACCAAUCAUUUAUUGAUAAAUGAACAUAAGAAUAUUAUGUCCAAUUCCCUUCACUUUCUUUCCUACUUUCCCAAAUCUUGAGCAUAAGAUGGACAUUCAGGGAGAUCCAACAUGGCGGCAGGCGCUGAGAGAUCAAUUCUGUGACCUCUUCAGCUGUGUGGGCAAAGGGAAUCUUAAACUGACUGAAUGCUGUUUGCUCAGGACCACUAGGCAAUGCUAGGCUGAAGUGGACCUGGGGCGAGCAGUUUGUGCCCCUCAGAACCCACACCCAGCCAGGAGCGGGUGAAUUCAGGCUCCCCGUACACAGUUUCUGGCUGAUUGUCUGAGUCUCGCCACCAAACCGCCGUGACUCAGCACUACAGAAGCUCCCGUGGAAUAGAGAAACAACUCUUCGGUUCCUCUGUGAAACUUUUAAGGGGAUACCAACGGAGCCUUCAUAGGCAACGGGCCCAGAAUUGAGAUGGGACUUGGGAGAGUCGGACCAAACCCACCCUUCGCAUUUGGACACCUGGCAAAGAGAACGAAUGGCCACCCUUCGCAUUGGACACCAUCAUGGCAGAAAACUGAUGUCACCAGAAUUCGGCGGAGGGGAUAGCUUCAUCGAAACCGGCUACUGCAAGUGUGUGACCCCCAGGGCCCAUCAUCUCCACACAGCGGGGUAAUCUCAAGGCCCCCCUACCAGCUCUCCUGUGAGCGUGAUUGUCAGACCAAGGGAGUCAGGAGUGGCACCUGACCCCUGGCUACUGCUCCCACCAGUGCUGACAACUAAUGUCUCUUGCGCCAGUUCCCAGGGGCGUGGCUACCGGAAGGCAGGCAGAAUAAGCUGACGGUUCUCAGCCCCACAAUCCACAACCUUAGGGUCUGGAGGAAUGGCAAAUGGAGAGAGGGAGCCCAGUCGUUCAAGAAAAUAGGGCUCCCAGGAACGGCAGACCCGGAGUGUAGCUAGUUUUGUGAUGAACGUCACUGGUGAGUGGGGCCUGGCUGGAGGAAAAGCGGGGAAGUGACUGGAGACCAGGAAAGGCCCUGGGCACCCAGGAUUGGAGAGCCACCCAGUGAAGGAGGAGGAGCUGCCUCACAGGGAUUGGUUUCUGCAUAUUGAGAGAAGAACAUUGGCCCAGUGGGCACAGCUCCACCUACUGGAAGAGAAGGUAAUCGAACUCUAAGGGUGCAUUUUUAAAUUUUUUCAAAUUUUUAUUUAUUUUUUAUUUUUAAAUUUUAUUUAUUUAUUUAUUUAGUCUUUUCAAUUUCCCUAUUCCACUUUUCUUGAGUUCUAAAUAUUUAUUCUCAUCCUCUUUAGCGAUUUCUUCCCUCCCCUUCUAAUACCUUUCCUCCCAAGCAUUAUGACGCUGUUUAUGUGUAAUUUGCUAAAUGUGUAUAGGUAAAUGUUCUGAGGCGUUAUAUACAGGUACCAAUUCCCUAGCUACCCCCAAAUACUCCAGAACAUUCUCCUGUUAAUAUCCCUCAUCAGUAGAGCAAUCUUCCAAGGUUGCCAAGAUAUACCAACCUCUAUACCAUCACAUCACUCGACCUAAACAUAAGUCCCAAGACCAAACCACAGAUCACUUUACGCCAUCAGAAUCCGUACGCAUUUUAUGAAACAAAUGAAUCUGCUUUAAAGUGCAAUAAAAUUCAUCAUCUCUAGUCAUAGUCUCCCUUCAAAAAGGAGAGACCCCGGAGAUACACAAAACCAAAAUAAAUUUAUAGGAGUAAACAGUAACUCAGCAUUCAAACAGAACCGGAAGUAACAUGAGCAGCAUGAAAAAGCAAAAAAAUAAAAGGAGUACAAACAAUGUAGAACAGCCUAAAUCUACAGGAGAACCUAGAGGCAUCAGAAAAAUGGUCCAAUAAAGAACUCAGGGAGUACCUUAUACAGAUGGAAUGGAAUCUUAAAGAGGACAUGAGACAGCAAAUUCAAACAAUGAACGAACACAUUGAAAAUGAAUUACAUAAACAGAUUCAAGAAGCAAAUAAGCAACUUUACCAGGAGAUAGAGAUUAUAAAAAAAUCAAGCAAUAAUCCUAGAAAUGAAGGAAAUUAUAAACUAAAUUAAAAACUCAAACGAGAGUAUCCCUAGCAGAAUGGAGCAAGUAGAAGUCAGAACGUCAGACAAUGAAGACAAAAUAUAUCAUCUUGAAAAGAGUCUAGCCAACUCAGAAAGGCUGGUAAGAAACCACGAGAAAAACAUCCAAGAGAUAUGGGAUAACAUAAAAAAAAACAAACUUAAGAGUCAUUAGGAUAGAGGAAGGUAUAGAGGUCCAAACCAAGGGAAUGAGCAAUCUGUUGAAUGAAAUAAUUUUAGAAAACUUUCCAGAUAUAAUAAAGGAAACGGAUGUACAAAUUCUAGAUGCAUACAGGACACGGAGCAUAGAAAAUCACAGUAGACAAACGCCAAGACACAUUGUUGUGAAGAUAUCCAAUAUACAGAACAAAGAGAAAAUAUUAAAAGCUACAAGAGAAAGGAGGCAGAUUACAUUCAGGGGUAAACCAAUAAGGUUAAUGGCAGAUUUUUCAUCAUAGAUGCUGAAAGCGAGAAGAUCCUGGAACAAUGUAUUUCAAACACUGAAAUAUAAUGGAUGCCAACCAAGAAUUUUGUAUCCAGCAAAAUUAAGCUUCAGGUACAACAACGAAAUAAAAAUCUUUCAUGAUAAACAAAAGUUAAAAGAAUUUGCAGCCAGAAAACCAGCAUUGCAAAGCAUCUUGAGCAAAACACUACACGAGGAAGAAAUGGAAAACAAUAACCAAAACCAACAGUGGGAAGUAGCUCGUGAAAGAUAGAGAGCGGGGGGAAAGCUAAUCAUGGAGAAACAAACUAAAUUUUUUUAAAAAAGAUAAAUAAUCAAACAUGGCUGGAAGUACAAACCAUAUAUCAAUAGUAACUCUAAACGUUAAUGGCUUAAACUCUCCAAUAAAGCGACACGGGCUGGUAACAUGGAUUAAAAAAACAAAUUGAACAAUAUGCUGCCUCCAGGAGACACAUCUGAUUGGAAAAAACAUACACAGGCUGAAGGUGAAAGGUUGGGAAAAAAUAUACCACGCACACGAUCCUUGUAAGCAAGCAGAGGUGGCCAUCCUCAUAUCGAAUAAAAUUGACUUUAAGACUAAGUUAAUCAAAAGGGAUAAGGAAGGACAUUAUCUACUGUUAAAAGGAACCAUUCACCAACAAGACAUAACAAUUAUCAAUAUUUUGCACAAAAUAAGUGUGCUGCGACAUUCAUAAAACAAACUCUCCUCAAGUUCAAGAAUCAAAUCGACCACAACACAAUAAUUAUGGGUGAAUUCAACACACCUCUCUCACAAUUGGACAGAUCCUCCAAACAAAAGUUGAAUAAAGAAACUAUAGAACUCAAUAUCACAAUCAAUAACCUAGACUUAACUGACAUAUAUAGAAUAUAUCAACCAUCAUCAAGUGGAUAUACUAUUUUCUCAGUAGCACAUGGAUCCUUGUCAAAAAUAGACCAUAUAUUAUGCCAUAAGGCAACCCUCAAUAAAUAUAAAGGGGUGGAGAUAAUACCAUGAAUUUUAUAUGAUCAUAAUGGAAUGAAACUGGAAAUCAAUGAUAAAAGAAGGAAGGAAAAAUCCUACAUCACCUAGAAAAUGAACAAUAUGUUACUGAAUGAUCAAUGGGUUACAAAAGACAUAAAGGAGGAAAUCAAAAAAUUCUUAGAGAUAAAUGAAAAUACAGACACAACAUAUCAGAAUCUAUGGGACACAAUGAAAGCAGUUUUAAGAGGGAAAUUCAUUGCCUGGAAGUCAUUCCUCAAAAAAAGAAAAAAGCAACAAAUAAAUGAGGUCACAAUUCAUCUCAAAGCCCUAGAAAAGGAAGAGCAACACAACAGCAAAUGUAGCAGAAGGCAAGAAAUAAUUAAAAUCAGAGCGAAAAUCAACGAAAUUGAAACAAAAGAAACUAUUGAAAAAAUUGACAAAACUAAAAGUUGGUUCUUCGAAAAAAUAAAUAAGGUUGACAGACCCUUAGCCAUGCUAACGAACAGAAGAAGAGAGAGAACUCAAAUUACUAGCAUACAGGAUGAAAAAGGCAAUAUCACAACAGAUGCUACAGAAAUACAUAAGACAAUUAGAAAUUAUUUUGAAACCCUAUAUUCCAAUAAAAUAGAAGAUAGUGAAGACAUUGGUAAAUUUCUUACGUCAUAUGAUUUCCCCAGACUGAGUCAGGAAGAUACACACAAUUUGAACAGACCAAUAUCAAUGGAUGAAAUAGAAGAAGCAAUCAAAAGCCUACCAACCAAGAAAAGCCCAGGACUGGAUGGGUAUACAGCGGAGUUUCACAAAACCUUUAAAGAAGAAUUAAUACCAAUACUUUUCAAGUUAUUUCAGGAAAUAGAAAAAGAGGGAGCUCUUCCAAAUUCAUUCUAUGAGGCCAACAUCACCCUGAUUCCAAAACCAGACAAAAACACCUCAAAGAAAGAAAACUACAGACCAAUAUCUCUAAUGAACCUAGAUGCAAAAAUUCUCAAUAAAAUUCUGGUGAAUCGGAUACAAAAACAUAUCAAAAAAAUUGUGAACCACGAUCAAGUAGGAUUCAUCCCUGGGAUGCAUGGCUGGUUCAAUAUACGGAAAUCAAUAAAUGUUAUUCACCACAUCAAUAGACUUAAAGAUAAGAACCAUAUGAUCAUCUCGAUAGACGCAGAAAAAGCAUUCGACAAAGUACAGCAUCCC